AGCUCUGUGGCACAAUGGAUAGUGCAUUGGAUUUCUAAUUCAAAGGUGGUGGGUUCAAAUCCCACCAGAGUCA
Non-coding RNA from Protopterus annectens (West African lungfish), 73 nucleotides. The record is from the annotation of a RefSeq genome assembly. Lineage: Eukaryota; Metazoa; Chordata; Ceratodontiformes; Protopteridae.